This is a long non-coding RNA of Diuraphis noxia (Russian wheat aphid), 887 nucleotides long. RefSeq lists it as uncharacterized. Lineage: Eukaryota; Metazoa; Arthropoda; Insecta; Hemiptera; Aphididae. The record is from RefSeq and is a predicted model, not a curated record.
UCUGCAUCUACCUCCAUCGAAAAGCAAAAUAUUGGAAUUUGGAAUAUUGAACUGUAAGAUUAACAUUAAAACUCUUGUUAUGAACAACUGGAGGCAGCGGUACCUUCGGAAUAUUAACAAAAGGAAGCCUUAUUAUCUGGAGACAACGAGUGCUAGCUGUUUAAUACAGCAUCCCCCAAUACACAGUCGUCCCUCAGGUGACAAUUUUUAUCACUCAUACCAAAAGGUCUUACACAGUAUGAAGUUAAAAAUAUUCAACAUCCGGUAGGAAUUUAUUAUCAAGCUUUAACAAGUGUAUUUGGUGGAUUCUCAAGAUGGUGUAUUCAAGAAUUUGAUCAAUUACACUAUACAUUAUAAUUUUAUGUCAAAUAUGCAUACAAUGUUAUACUGUWGCAGUUUAAGAUGAUGUAAUACUUCAAAAUACACAAAUUUAAAUAAUGGACAUUUAUUGAUUAUUGCUUGUCAUAAGGGAUCCAGUUGUUGCUCGCAGGAUUCGGUAUUGGGAGGUUGUUACUGAGAUGAAUGGUGCUCAUGCACUAUCUUAAGGAAGACACUGUUGUAUUGACAGGGAAGUGGAAGGUGAUGUUUUCUUUGCUGAAAAUGUGUUUCAACAGCAUACAAAUCUUAACAACUAAUUUUUUUUACAUUUUUCUGCCUUUUCUGACUUUUUUUUACAUCUAAUUUUUUGACAUUUUUAAUAAUUCCCUAUUAAUUUUAGAAGUUAAGCUUUAAGUAAGUGCUUUUCUGAAGAUUUCAGUUAGGAUUUACCUCAUUUAAAAUUUUUCACAAUCACAUCAGUGGACAUGUAGAGAAUUUUUUCUAAAUAAAAAUAUUUAUAAGAUAAUCGCUGUUCAUUCAAUUUUGAGUUUUGACAUCAUCAAAUAUGC